RNAcentral lists this ribosomal RNA (200 nucleotides) under uncultured eukaryote. RNAcentral's name for it is "partial 18S ribosomal RNA". It matches the Rfam family "Eukaryotic small subunit ribosomal RNA", at positions 587 to 784 of the family's 1831-position model. The record is from RNAcentral.
AGCUCCAAUAGCGUAUAUUAAUGUUGUUGCAGUUAAAAAGCUCGUAGUUGGAUUUCUGCGUCGCGUAGCUCGGUCCGUGGCUUUGCCAUGUGACGUGUGGCUAGAGCGUCGCAUCCUUGUGGAGACUGUUUCUGUCAUUAAUUUGGUGGAUUCCGGAACCGCAUCGUUUACUGUGAAAAAAUUAGAGUGUUCAAAGCAGG